Molecule: long non-coding RNA, 1375 nt
Organism: Hordeum vulgare subsp. vulgare (domesticated barley)
Lineage: Eukaryota; Viridiplantae; Streptophyta; Magnoliopsida; Poales; Poaceae
Exons: 3
Source: RefSeq, a predicted model, not a curated record
UCCCAUUGCCAGCAUUGAGUCUCAUUCCCCUUCUUUGCAAUAAACGGCACGCACAACCCCAGCUCCCUCUCCCGGUUUCCAUGGCUUCUCCCCUUCCCACCGACGGCCAGCUUCCAAGUUCCAAUCCCCCGUGAUGCGAGCCUCACCGGAGAUACCGAAGCCUCCGUUCUUGCCUGCCGUACCUGUUCCCCGCCCCUAUCCAGUCCCCACGUCCUCACCUCUCGCUGACCAGGCCACCACGCACUCAAGUUUUGGACCUUGGUCAGAUAUUCUGCCGGAACUCGUUGGUCUUGUCCUCAAGCGCCUCCUUUCCCUAGCUGACCGUGUUCGUCUGAGAGCAGUAUGUAAAAAACAAACUGGCUAUUCCUCGUGAUCACUAAUGGAGCAUGUUCAUUGCUGACAUUUUUCAAAGUUCACAUUGGGGCUUCCUAAUCUAGUAGGUAAUUGUUUGGCAGCACGAGAUAGAUAGUAUCUUUGGCCAUACUUACUGCCCAACUUCUUAAAAGUCAAUGGCACCCUCGACCCUCGACUCAUUACCCAAGUGCUUAAAUGCCGCACUGAUCACCGAUGGUAGUUACGAGAAAUAUGACACGGAAGAUUUUCGUAUAGAUAAUAAAGUAUUGAGGGUAUGCCAUUUUCAUAUAAAAUUAAAGUAAAUAUAACACUGUAGACAAAAUAGUGCACAUUACUCCCUGGCACAUAUGAACCUCAAAAUAAACAAAAACCUAGAUGUCUCAUAGAUAGAUCUCAGGAUAGAUAUACAGGCGGCACAAUGGAUAGAUGUCUCAAAGAAUUAACCAUGUAGCACACUUGCCAUGGUAAACUAAAUGUAAAAAACAUAAUUUAGCUGGACACAAAGCCUAUUACAGAUAUGAUAUCAUUAGCGAUAUUCUUGGCAUCUGCUGCAAUGCCAGCCAAUCCUCUCCUUGCUAACCCAGCACAGUAGAGUCCAUUUUCACCUUUCCAAUGAUUUGGAUAUUCUUUUAUGGGCAGUCCAUCGCCAUUUAACAUGCUCUCACCAUUCUGGGCUCAAAAAUAACAUAGAGCUUGUUAGCAGAUUUAACAAUUGUUUCACCAAGAAAACAAACUCAGAAAUAUUUAAAUAUCGUUGUUGUUACCUCGAGCCAUAUGUUUGCCGUGCUUUUGUAUCCAGUUGCGAACACAAUCGCAUCAAAUGAGAUUUCUUUACUGCACUGAAAUUCAACUAUGUUGCCCAUGAUCUUACUGAUACCCCCUUGAACCUAUAUGAGAUAAAUAAAUUAUUGAUAACUUGGCAUAUAAAAUAAACAUCUGACAUUAAAUUUAUGUCAUGUGUAGGAUAUACUUACUUUGAUGAUACCCUUUUUGAUUAACCCAACAGUGCCAACAUCAAUCA